This 1504-nucleotide ribosomal RNA is filed under the name Weissella sp. RNAcentral's name for it is "bacterial SSU rRNA". The record is from RNAcentral. Lineage: Bacteria; Bacillati; Bacillota; Bacilli; Lactobacillales; Lactobacillaceae.
UCAGGAUGAACGCUGGCGGCGUGCCUAAUACAUGCAAGUCGAACGCUUUGUGGUUCAACUGAUUUGAAGAGCUUGCUCAGAUAUGACGAUGGACAUUGCAAAGAGUGGCGAACGGGUGAGUAACACGUGGGAAACCUACCUCUUAGCAGGGGAUAACAUUUGGAAACAGAUGCUAAUACCGUAUAACAAUGACAACCGCAUGGUUGUUAUUUAAAAGAUGGUUCUGCUAUCACUAAGAGAUGGUCCCGCGGUGCAUUAGCUAGUUGGUAAGGUAAUGGCUUACCAAGGCGAUGAUGCAUAGCCGAGUUGAGAGACUGAUCGGCCACAAUGGGACUGAGACACGGCCCAUACUCCUACGGGAGGCAGCAGUAGGGAAUCUUCCACAAUGGGCGAAAGCCUGAUGGAGCAACGCCGCGUGUGUGAUGAAGGGUUUCGGCUCGUAAAACACUGUUGUAAGAGAAGAAUGACAUUGAGAGUAACUGUUCAAUGUGUGACGGUAUCUUACCAGAAAGGAACGGCUAAAUACGUGCCAGCAGCCGCGGUAAUACGUAUGUUCCAAGCGUUAUCCGGAUUUAUUGGGCGUAAAGCGAGCGCAGACGGUUAUUUAAGUCUGAAGUGAAAGCCCUCAGCUCAACUGAGGAAUUGCUUUGGAAACUGGAUGACUUGAGUGCAGUAGAGGAAAGUGGAACUCCAUGUGUAGCGGUGAAAUGCGUAGAUAUAUGGAAGAACACCAGUGGCGAAGGCGGCUUUCUGGACUGUAACUGACGUUGAGGCUCGAAAGUGUGGGUAGCAAACAGGAUUAGAUACCCUGGUAGUCCACACCGUAAACGAUGAGUGCUAGGUGUUUGAGGGUUUCCGCCCUUAAGUGCCGCAGCUAACGCAUUAAGCACUCCGCCUGGGGAGUACGACCGCAAGGUUGAAACUCAAAGGAAUUGACGGGGACCCGCACAAGCGGUGGAGCAUGUGGUUUAAUUCGAAGCAACGCGAAGAACCUUACCAGGUCUUGACAUCCCUUGACAACUCCAGAGAUGGAGCGUUCCCUUCGGGGACAAGGUGACAGGUGGUGCAUGGUUGUCGUCAGCUCGUGUCGUGAGAUGUUGGGUUAAGUCCCGCAACGAGCGCAACCCUUAUUACUAGUUGCCAGCAUUYAGUUGGGCACUCUAGUGAGACUGCCGGUGACAAACCGGAGGAAGGUGGGGAUGACGUCAAAUCAUCAUGCCCCUUAUGACCUGGGCUACACACGUGCUACAAUGGCGUAUACAACGAGUUGCCAACCCGCGAGGGUGAGCUAAUCUCUUAAAGUACGUCUCAGUUCGGAUUGUAGGCUGCAACUCGCCUACAUGAAGUCGGAAUCGCUAGUAAUCGCGGAUCAGCACGCCGCGGUGAAUACGUUCCCGGGUCUUGUACACACCGCCCGUCACACCAUGAGAGUUUGUAACACCCAAAGCCGGUGGGGUAACCUUCGGGAGCCAGCCGUCUAAGGUGGGACAGAUGAUUAGGGUGA